This 922-nucleotide ribosomal RNA is filed under the name uncultured archaeon. RNAcentral's name for it is "bacterial SSU rRNA". It matches the Rfam family "Archaeal small subunit ribosomal RNA", at positions 1 to 922 of the family's 1478-position model. The record is from RNAcentral.
UUCCGGUUGAUCCGCGCCGGACCUGACUGCUAUCGGAUGAUAUUAAGCCUGCGGAGUCAUUGUAGCAAUACCAGGGCAGACGCGCUCUGUAACGCGUAGUCAACUUAACCUAUGGACGGGAAUAACCUCGGGAAACUGAGAAUAAUGCCCGAUAGAACACUAUCCUGGAAAUGGUUUUGUGUUCCAAAUGAUUUAUCCCCGUAGGAUGGGACUGCGGCCUAUCAAGUUUUUUGGUGAGGUAAUGGCCCCACCAAGUCUAUUACAGGUACGGGCUCUGAGAGGAGUAGCUCCGGGAGAUGGGUACUGAGACACGGACCCAGGCCCUAUGGGGCGCAGCAGGCGAGAAAACUUUGCAAUGUGCGAAAGCACGACAAGGUUAAUCCGAGUGGUUUCUGCUAAAGGAACCUUUUGACAGUCCUAGAAACACUGUUGAAUAAGGGGUGGGCCAAGUUCUGGUGUCAGCCGCCGCGGUAAAACCAGCACCUCAAGUGGUCAGGAUGAUUAUUGGGCCUAAAGCAUCCGUAGCCUGCUUUGUAAGUUUUCCGUUAAAUCCAUACGCUCAACGUAUCGGCUGCCGGGAAUACUGCAAAGCUAGGGAGUGGGAGAGGUAGACGGUACUCGGUAGGAAGGGGUAAAAUCCUUUGAUCUAUUGAUGACCACCUGUGGCGAAGGCGGUCUACCAGAACACGUCCGACGGUGAGGGAUGAAAGCUGGGGGAGCAAACCGGAUUAGAUACCCGGGUAGUCCCAGCUGUAAACUAUGCAAACUCGGUGAUGCAUUGGCUUGAUGCCAAUGCAGUUCCGCAGGGAAGCCGUUAAGUUUGCCGCCUGGGAAGUACGUUCGCAAGUAUGAAACUUAAAGGAAUUGCCGGGGGAGCCCCACAAGGGGUGAGGCCUGCGGUUCAAUUGGAUUCAACGCCGGA